RNAcentral lists this ribosomal RNA (464 nucleotides) under uncultured Verrucomicrobiota bacterium. RNAcentral describes it as "bacterial SSU rRNA". It matches the Rfam family "Bacterial small subunit ribosomal RNA", at positions 338 to 795 of the family's 1533-position model. The record is from RNAcentral. Lineage: Bacteria; Pseudomonadati; Verrucomicrobiota.
CCUACGGGGGGCUGCAGUCGAGAAUUUUUCACAAUGGGGGAAACCCUGAUGGAGCGACGCCGCGUGGGGGAUGAAGGGCUUCGGCUCGUAAACCCCUGUCAUUCGCGAAUAAUUGCUGUGGCCUAACACGUCACGGUUUGAUAGUAGCGGAAGAGGAAGGGACGGCUAACUCUGUGCCAGCAGCCGCGGUAAUACAGAGGUCCCAAGCGUUGUUCGGAUUUACUGGGCGUAAAGGGUGCGUAGGCGGCAGGGAAAGUUCGGGGUGAAAUCUCCAGGCUCAACUUGGAAACUGCCCUGAAUACUUCCUUGCUCGAGGGCCGAAGAGGAGAUUGGAAUUCUCGGUGUAGCAGUGAAAUGCGUAGAUAUCGAGAGGAACAUCAGUGGCGAAAGCGAAUCUCUGGUCGGCAUCUGACGCUGAGGCACGAAAGCCAGGGGAGCAAACGGGAUUAGAUACCCGAGUAGUC